Molecule: unclassified non-coding RNA, 375 nt
Filed under: uncultured Alphaproteobacteria bacterium
Lineage: Bacteria; Pseudomonadati; Pseudomonadota; Alphaproteobacteria
Description: contains 16S-23S intergenic spacer region
Source: RNAcentral
UCCGGCUUGUCGCCGGCGGUCCCUCUAGAGUGCCCAACUGAAUGAUGGCAACUAAAGGCGAGGGUUGCGCUCGUUGCGGGACUUAACCCAACAUCUCACGACACGAGCUGACGACAGCCAUGCAGCACCUGUCUCUACGUCCCUUGCGGGAAAACUCCCAUUACGGAGCGGUCGUAGGAUGUCAAACCCUGGUAAGGUUCUGCGCGUUGCGUCGAAUUAAACCACAUGCUCCACCGCUUGUGCGGGCCCCCGUCAAUUCCUUUGAGUUUCAACCCUGCGGCCGUACUCCCCAGGCGGGAUGCUUAAUGCGUUAGCUGCGCCACUGAAUAGCAAGCUACCCAACGGCUAGCAUCCAUCGUUUACGGCGUGGACUAC